UCGAGGAUCUUCGGCAAUGGGCGCAAGCCUGACCGAGCGACGCCGCGUGUGCGAUGAAGGCCUUCGGGUUGUAAAGCACUUUGGCGGGGGAGGAAAGCCCGAAAGGGUCUGACCUAUCCCGAGAACAAGCACGGGCUAAGUUCGUGCCAGCAGCCGCGGUAAGACGAACCGUGCGAACGUUGUUCGGAAUCACUGGGCUUAAAGGGCGCGUAGGCGGACGACCAAGUCGGGGGUGAAAUCUUUCGGCUCAACCGGAAAAUAGCCUUCGAUACUGGCCGUCUGGAGGGAGGUAGGGGCGUGUGGAACUUCCGGUGGAGCGGUGAAAUGCGUUGAUAUCGGAAGGAACUCCGGUGGCGAAAGCGACACGCUGGAUCUCAUCUGACGCUGAGGCGCGAAAGCCAGGGGAGCGAACGGGAUUAGAUACCCCCGUAGUCC
RNAcentral lists this ribosomal RNA (435 nucleotides) under uncultured bacterium. RNAcentral describes it as "bacterial SSU rRNA". It matches the Rfam family "Bacterial small subunit ribosomal RNA", at positions 355 to 796 of the family's 1533-position model. The record is from RNAcentral.